Molecule: ribosomal RNA, 459 nt
Filed under: uncultured bacterium
Lineage: Bacteria
Description: partial 16S ribosomal RNA
Rfam family: Bacterial small subunit ribosomal RNA
Source: RNAcentral
CCUACGGGGGGCAGCAGUGAGGAAUAUUGGUCAAUGGGCGGAAGCCUGAACCAGCCAAGUCGCGUGAGGGAAUAAGGCCCUACGGGUCGUAAACCUCUUUUGCCGGGGAGCAAGGGCGGGGACGUGUCCCGGCCCGGAGAGUACCCGGAGAAAAAGCAUCGGCUAACUCCGUGCGAGCAGCCGCGGUAAUACGGAGGAUGCGAGCGUUAUCCGGGUUUAUUGGGUUUAAAGGGUGCGGAGGCGGGCUUUUAAGUCAGGGGAAAAAAUUCGGGGCACAAUCCCGCCGGGCCGUCGGAACGGGGGGGCUUGGGGGCGGCGGAGGCAUGGGGAAUGCGCGGUGUAGCGGUGAAUGCAUAGAUAUCGCGCAGAACCCCGAUUGCGAAGGCAGCGUGCCGUGCCGCAACUGACGGUGAGGCACGAAAGCGCGGGGAUCGAACAGGAUUAGAUACCCUUGUAGUC